Molecule: ribosomal RNA, 406 nt
Filed under: uncultured bacterium
Lineage: Bacteria
Description: partial 16S ribosomal RNA
Rfam family: Bacterial small subunit ribosomal RNA
Source: RNAcentral
AUUGAACGCUGGCGGCAGGCCUAACACAUGCAAGUCGAACGCGUGGCGGACGGGUGAGUAAUGUCUGGGAAACUGCCUGAUGGAGGGGGCUAACUAAUGGAAACGGUAGCUAAUACCGCAUACCAUCAGAUAUUCCCCGAUGGGAUUAGCUAGUUGUUGGGGUAACGGCUCAACAGGGCGACGAUCCCUCGCUGGUCUGAGAGGAUGACCGGCCACACUGGAACUGAGACACGGUCCAGACUCCUAAGGGAGGCAGCAGUGGGGAAUAUUGCACAAUGGGCGCAAGCCUGAUGCAGCCAUGCCGCGUGUAUGAAGAAGGCCUUCGGGUUGUAAAGUACUUUCAGCGGGGAGGCGUUACCCGCAGAAGAAGCACCGGCUAACUCCGUGCCAGCAGCCGCGGUAAUAC